GUCGGGUUGAAGAGAGGAGAGGAGGGAGGGGAGGAGGGGAGUUGGGGUAGAAGGGAGGACAGGAUGGAGGGGAGGAGGGAGCCUGCUUACAGUGCACCUGCAGGAGCCUCUACCCCAGAUCCUGCUCCUGAGGGCAGACUGCUACUGGAGUCUUCAACCCGAAGCUGAGGCACAGACAAGGGUGGCUGUUUGCUGGGGAUGUACAGGACGAAGCCAAGGGUGGAGAGGGAAGAUGAUGGCUGCAGGCUAAGGGCUGUAGACUGGUGCUGCCCCCUAUCCCCAAGAUGACUUUCUGGCCCAGAAUUCAGAAGACCCUGAAGAUUGGAACUAGAACCUGGCUUUCCAGGUCUUUCUGAAGGUCUGCUUGCCAAGGACCACUAAGCGUGAAGCAGGUAGAGUGAGACUUAGGACCCCGGGAGAAAAACCGCCCCUGGAGGGCGCGCCACGGGUGUGCGGUGUAGACGCGGGCGGGCCGGCGGCGGAGGAGGAGGUCCCGGCGCCGACCCCUGGAGCGGAGGCAGCAGCCGGGCGCAGCGAGACAAUUUCCACUCUUUCAGCUCCAGCUGGGCUGACUGCAGCUGCAGGGCAGAAAUUCUUUCCAGAGCCUGAGCAGAGCAAGAACCUCUGUGAUGUGGCUGACCUCAGACACUGGACCCAACACUUCCUCCCCAGCCUGAACAUUUGCGUCACUCCAUCUUAUGGCACCAGGCACCAUGAGGCUAUAAGGAGGACGGGGACGGGCUGUCUUUUUGUGCCAUUCCUUUUGGGGCCCAGGACCUAAGCAGGAACUUCAAAGGGACCCUGUUGGCACCAGCUCUUCUGAGAAGCACAUGGAACUACUGCCCUCCCUUUCCUAGGGGCUGGGCCCUCAGAGCUGCAGGGUGCAGGCCUACGUGAGCAUUUGGGCACCACUCCAAAGGCUUCUGUGUCAUUUCCUGGUGACCUUCAAGCAACAGAGAUUGUUAGGUGGGGCAGGAUUUUAAAGACCCAACUUCACUGGGGACCUGACGGUAGCAUCCAAGGAAAGGCGUCAGCCUUCUGCUCUAGAAUUCAUGUUCUCACGGUUUUGCCUCUAGCCUCAGAGGGAUCUGCACUCCCAGCAGAUUAAGAUCCUCGUUUCUAGGCCAACACACCCAUUUCACAGAUGAGGAAACUGAGAGUCAGAAAAGGCAUGGACAAGCCCUGCCAGUGAGCAACACUAGCUCUAGACUCUGGGUCUCUCCCAGGCAGCUUGGCUCAAACCAAGCCUCUUACAUCAGCAUUAUUUUAUUUAUUGCUUCCCCUUCCCUACUCUUCCACACCCCUCUGUAUCAACGGAACAGCUACUUGGACCCUCCUGGAGGAGGGCCCCACAGGGCAGGGUCUCAGAGUUGUUGGCAAAGACUUGGGGAGCUGGGGCUCCCUGGCAUGAAGAUGGAGGUUCUGCCCUCUCCUCCCAGGGGCCAGAAGGGGGCCCACAGUGAAGCAAAAGAAGAGAAAAGCAGCCUGCUCACUCUGCCUCUCCAGAGGGAGGUGAUGGGAAGUGGCAGCCAUGGAGGGAGCCCGCAGGGUCUGGCCCCCAGGGCCCUGGGGCACAAUUACCUCAUCAGGCAUUUCCAGCUUUUAUGAUCUGCCAACAAGGCCACAAGUGACGCAGACACCUCCCCUGGCAGCCUGUUCUCCAGGGCGAUGGGUGGUGAUCUCACCCUUGCUGGAAUGCCACUGCCAUCCGCAUGCCCCUGGCCAGGCCAGAGGCCACCAGGCCGAGGCCCAGGCACUGAGCAGGGGCCAGAGGGAGUGAAGUGGCCUAGAUGAAGAGAAGGAGUCAGCAGGUGAGCUGAGGAUGCCACCCAGGAGGCCUGAAACUGGGGCUGGGAGGCUAAGAGAGCUCGGCCCUAGGGAAACAAGAGAGGGCUUGAAGUGCAUUCAAGUCAGUGGGACAGCUACUCCCGGGCCCUCCUGCUUGGAAUCCCCAAACUGGGCAGCGUGGGGCACCUUCAACUGCUGCUCACUCUGUGCUCACCUUCCUCAGCUCAGGGAUCUCAAACAGCCAGUGUUUCCCUCCCCACACACCAGACACACACACACACACACAUGCACACACACCACACACAUGGCCUGUGCAUCUGUGUAACAAAUCACUAGUAUUGAGUUCAAAUCUUGAAUUGGACACUUGGUAAUGGAAAGACACCUUGGGCAAGUUACUUUCCCUCUGUGUGCCUCAGUUUCCUUGCAAAAUGGGAAUCACACCAAUAGUGUUUUCUUCAUAGGGCUACAGUGAGCCAGUGCGUAGUGUCUGGAAUGUGGGACGUGCUCAGAAAAGGGUAGUUAUCACUGCUGCUGAGUAACGAGAGCAGGCUAGAGGAGAAUGUUCAUAGCCCCCUACCUCUACCUUUGCCCCCAAGUCAGUAAGCGGCAACUAAAGGCAGGGAGCCAUCUCGGAAGUGCUGGAGGCCCACACUCAAGGACUCCAAGUGUGACUGAUAUUAAAGAACAGCAACGUAGAUUUUAGGGCAUCAUCUGUCUACCCCAUUGGUACUUUGAACACUUCAAGUAAUUAUUAUCUCUGUUAUAAUAAAUAAUGCAAUUGAGGUUGAGAGAGUGUAAAUGGCUAUGGCUAUUCAAAGUGACACAGCUAACCACAAAAAUCAAGGUUUACACACAGUACUUCACUGGCCAAGGCCCCCCGCCCCAGAGGUCACUGACCGCUAGUGUUCUAGUGGUUUUGUUUGUUUGUUUGUUUGUUUUUUCUUUGCUCUGUCGCCCAAGCUGGAGUGCAGUGGCACAAUCUCAGCUGUCUGCAACCUCUGCCUCCCAGGUUUAAGCGAUUCUCCUGCCUUAGCCUCCUGAGUAGCUUGGACUACAGGCGCGCAUCACCACACCUGGCUAAUUUUUGUAUUUUUAGUAGAGAUGGGGUUUCGCCAUGUUGGCCAGGGCUGGUCUCGAGCUCCUGACCUCAAGCCAUCCCACCCACCUCAGCCUCCCAAAGUGCUGGGAUUACAGGUAUGAGCCUCCAGGCCUGGCCUUUUCUAGUGUUUUGUACUCAAUUAUACAGAUUUGUAUUAAUUCAGCACAUAUGAACUGAACACUUAGUCUCUACCCAACCCUGAUCUAGAUAUUGUCUAUAUGCAAAAGAGGAAGAGAUGGUUAGGGAGACCAACUAACAGAAAACCAUUUAUAUAAAUGCAGAAAACAGAAUAUGUAACAAACCAUUUUCUCUCUGGGUAUAGGAAUUAGGAUAUAGGCUAAAUUGCUGUAAUAGGAACUCACUAUUACAAUGGCUUAAGUAAGAUUUGUUUAUUUCUCUUUCAUAAUAGUCUAGAGGUGAGUGGCCCAGACUGGCAGGGCAGCUCUGUUCCAUAAAAACAUUCAGGGAUCCAAGUUCUGUUCAUCUUUUUGCUGUCCCAUCCCCUAAGGCAGUGGUCCCCAACCUUUUGGGCACCAGGGACCGGUAUGGGGACAUAGCCCACACCAACAGCCCACACCAACAGCCUUGGCCCAUGGGCUUCCUAAACGGAGGCAGCCCCAGUUUUGUGGAAGACAAUUUUUCCAUGGACCAGAGGGUGGGGGAAUGAUGGUUUGGGGAUGAUUCAAGUGCAUUACGUUUAUUGUGCACUUUAUUUUUAUUGUCAUAUAAUAUACAAUUUACAUUAUAAUAUAUAAUGAAAAGUAUAAAAAUUAUGCAACAUACCAUUAUGUAGAAUCAGUGGCAGCCCUGAGCUUGUUUCCCUGCAACUAGACAGUCCCAUCUGGAAGUGAUGGGAGACAGUGACAGAUCAUCAGGCAUUAGAUUCUCAUAAGGAGCCACAACCUAGGUCCCUCACAUGCACAGUUCACAGUAGAACUCACGCUUCUAUGAGAAUCUAAUGCCACUGCUGAUGUGACAGGAGGCAGAGCUCAGGCGGUAAUGUGAGCGAUGGGAGUGGCUGUAAAUACAGAUGAAGCUUUGUUUGCUUGCCCACUGGUCACCUUCUGCUGUGCGCCCCAGUUCCUAAUAGGCUGCAGACCAGUACUGGUCCAUGGCCUAGGGGUUGGGGACUCCUGCCCUAAGGCAAGGGUUCUCAACCUGGAGUCCAUAGAUAGAAAUCAAGGGAUUUGUGAACUUGCAUAGAAAAAAAUUACAUCUGUACUUUCAAAAACUUCUACAUGAAAUUUAGCAUUUCCUUCAAUUAUGCAAACGGCAAUAAACCUCUGAAGUACUAGCAAGAUCAAAGACUUUGUGGCCAAUAGAAAUCAUAAAGAUUUUUCAUCUCACAUUACAAUGUUGAAGAUAUCUCAAAAUAUCACUUAAUGUUUAUUACCAUUUUAAAAUUACAGUUGUUAUCAGCCCUGCUGCUAGAUUUUAUUAUUUAAUGUCAAUAAAGAAGUACAUUUUUACUGUGUCACAAAUUUAGGUGUGCUUGUGUAUGUGCUUAUGUUACAGUUAUUUUAAUAUCUGUAUUUCAGUAUAAUUGGUUUCUUUUGUAACCUUCUGUAUUUUAUUUUAUACAUUAAAAUAAAUGCAUAUGGAGUGAUAAAGUCCAUAGGCUUCACUGUACUGCCAAGGGAGCUCAUGUCACGAAGAAAGUUAGAGACCCCUGGCUCAGGCAGUUGUCCCCACAGGCAUGGCCCAAGCUGAGUCACUGCCCAUUUGUGACCCAGCACAUGGGAGCCCAGAAAGAGGAAAAGGGAAGGACACGCUAUUUCCUCCUAAACGAGUGAUGCAAAACUUGCCCCUGUCACUCCACUCAUUUUCUGUUGGUGAGAACUUUGUCACAUGGCCACACGGAAAUAGCUGCAAGGAAAGCAGAGAAAUAAGGUGUCCCACAUGGGGCCCAUUUGCCACAACUCUGCUACAUGGAAGGGAGGAAGGGAGGAACCAAGGAAAGAAGGAGGAAUUUUGAGGUCUAAAUAAGAGUUGAGGUUUUCUUAUCUGUAAAAGCAGGAGGUGGAAAUAGAGCAGUGGUUUUUCGUAUUUUUGACCAGUUAACAUCUUGUUUCAAAGGAAGUCACAUCCUACAGAUGGAAGCAGGGCAUCUUGUUUAAGUGGUGAGAGGAGACCCAGGACUCUUCCGGCAUGGGCUCCCCUUUCCUGACCCUUUCCCCAAGGGGGCUCCCUGAAGCACCUCCUAGCAACCCUAGGCCAAGGAGAAGUUUGCCAUCUGCAUUAGUCCGUUUUCACACUGCUGAUAAAGACAUACCCGAGACUGGGUAAUUUAUAAAGGAGAAGAGGUUUAAUGGACUCACAGUUCCACAUGGCUGGGGAGGCCUCUCAAUCACAGUAGAAAUCAAAGGAGAAGCAAAGGCACAUCUUUACCUGGUGUCAGGAGCUGUGAUCACAAAAUGUCAGUCUUCUAUUGUGAGAGAUGGUUCUGCCUGGUGGCUCUUUGGUCCUCUGUUCCCUGAGCACUGUUGGGUGCCCCAGCUCCUCCCACCCUCUCUGCUUCAAUCAAGACACUUACGUUGUAGAAAGCAUAGCUGACUGCAACAGCUGCAAUUUUUAUCAUCUCCCUGCAAGCCAAAUAUUAAAGUAUUUUAGUGGAACUUUGAAGUUCAGCGGGGUGGUACCUUCAUUGAUUGCCUGUCUUAUAUUUGAAUGCCAGUCAGUUUCUUGCGACAUGACUCUUUCAUUGUAACGUAAAAAACAAAAGCAAAAAACAAACUGCCUCACUAAUACAUUUGAGUUUUAAAACCCACUGUGGGUAAGAGGUUGAUGAAAAGGGAGCUUGCAAAUGCUGCUGAUGGGAGUGUGAACAGCGAUGGCCUUUCUGGAAGGCAACUUGACACUAUGAAUCAAAAGUUUAAAAACAUGCACACUUGUGCUUGAGUCAGUGUUUCCUAUUAGACAACUGAAUUCCAAGAAAUAAUCAUAUUUAGAUAUGAGGCCAUAUUUAGAUAUGAGGCUGUUCAGCAGAGCAUGUUUGUAAUUAAAAAAUGUGGGACACAAACAAAUUUCCAAGAAGAGGAGAUUCAAUAAAUAAGUGGUGAUACAUCUACAUAAGGGAAUACUCUUCACUUAUUAGAAAUUGUGCUAUAGAACAUUUAAUUACAUGAGAAGGUGUUCAUGAUUCUCUAUUACAUGCAAGAAUCGGGUUUCAAAACAGUAUAUGUAAGACAACUCCAUAAAACCUGUGUGAAUAGUUACGUGUGUGUGUGUAUACAUGUUAAACAAAAUAGAAUAGAAACCCACAUAUUAAUAGUGUUUAUUUCUGCACAGUGGAACAAUAUAUGAUGUUUAUUUUCUUUUUUUGUACCUCU
Molecule: long non-coding RNA, 6216 nt
Filed under: Homo sapiens (human)
Lineage: Eukaryota; Metazoa; Chordata; Mammalia; Primates; Hominidae
Description: HSALNT0250992
Source: RNAcentral